AACUUCUCAACAUCACGUUCUAUUGUGGAAGCACGCCUGAACAUCAGAAUUACGGGUUAAUUUACUUGUGUAUUGGAGGCCCAUGACGCCCUCAUCACCAGCAGAGGCUUACACAGCCACGUACUCAACAGUCUCUAGUACCACCAGUGCUGCGACAAACAAGGAUACCACAAGCUACAGGUAUGCGUUUACCUCUCUGAAAUUCGCUUCAAAUAAAAGCCGUGCACUGGACCCCUGGCGAGGUGACAGUCUUACGCUGCGCUGCGUGGGAGUAUCUAAGGGGUGUAUAGAUCAAGAUGCAACGGAAGUCCAGUCCUGCGAGAAAUUGCUCUUGUCACGUUACUGAUCACUAGAAUGUCAAAUAUGCUCCAGAAUAUGGUUAUGAGCAAGCAUGGAUCUCACCGUGAAGCUUUGGUGCAGUUGCUGGUAGAUCGCAUCGCACACAUAUAUGAUUCUGACUGUGUAAUUCUGCAGCAUACCGGAGGCAAGAAGUCCUAUGCAGACAGAAAAAAAGC
Molecule: long non-coding RNA, 515 nt
Filed under: Coccomyxa subellipsoidea
Lineage: Eukaryota; Viridiplantae; Chlorophyta; Trebouxiophyceae; Coccomyxaceae
Description: long non-coding RNA (CSUB_LNC000592)
Source: RNAcentral